RNAcentral lists this long non-coding RNA (475 nucleotides) under Numida meleagris (helmeted guineafowl). RNAcentral describes it as "lncRNA (ENSNMEG00000008576.1)". The record is from RNAcentral. Lineage: Eukaryota; Metazoa; Chordata; Aves; Galliformes; Numididae.
UCUCUAAAAUCUGAAGUGCUAGCAGGAAGUGCUGUGAUAAUUAUUCCUUCUAACAGCUGGCACUUCAACCUUCCUUCACACCAGGGGAAGUCAGCACACAAGAGCUGCAAGGCGAGAUCCCAUCAAGGACCCUGAUGGUUCCUGAAGUAUUUCCACAGCCUUGUGGGUAGCAAGAAGCAUCCAGCAGCUGAAGGUGGAACAGCUGUAGAAGGAAAUAUCUUUUUUAACUACAGCAUAAAAAGAGAAGGACGUGAGCUGAAGGAGAAGUGAAGAGGAUCAACACAGAGUAAAUAACAGUUAUGAUACUAAAGCAGGAAGCUUCAGAAGCAGAAACCUCAUGGCAAGCCAGAAUGAAUAAUAAUGCUGAAUUCUGGGGAUAUUGCCAGGAAAUGUCAUACAGGAUGCUCUGCAGCAGCAGCUAAGGAACUACAGGUGGAAUUGCAGGAUUAUAUGUUGCCAAGCUCAAGGCAAGCUU